CGCGUAGGCGGUCUCUUAAGUCAGAUGUGAAAGCCCGGGGCUUAACCCCGGAAGUGCAUUUGAAACUAAGGGACUUGAGUAUGGGAGAGGGAAGUGGAAUUCCUGGUGUAGAGGUGAAAUUCGUAGAUAUCAGGAGGAACACCGGUGGCGAAGGCGACCUCCUGGACCAAUACUGACGCUGAGGCGCGAAGGCGUGGGGAGCAAACAGGAUUAGAUACCCUGGUAGUCC
This 229-nucleotide ribosomal RNA is filed under the name uncultured bacterium. RNAcentral describes it as "partial 16S ribosomal RNA". It matches the Rfam family "Bacterial small subunit ribosomal RNA", at positions 568 to 796 of the family's 1533-position model. The record is from RNAcentral.